Molecule: ribosomal RNA, 260 nt
Filed under: uncultured bacterium
Lineage: Bacteria
Description: partial small subunit ribosomal RNA
Rfam family: Bacterial small subunit ribosomal RNA
Source: RNAcentral
AGAUUGAACGCUGGCGGCGUGCCUAACACAUGCAAGUCGAGCGGUAACAGGUGUAGCAAUACAUGCUGACGAGCGGCGAACGGGUGAGUAACACGUGAGCAAUCUGCCCUUAGCUUCGGGAUAGCUCCGGGAAACCGGAAUUAAUACCGAAUAUGACUUCGGCCGACAUCGGCCUUGGUGGAAAGUUUUUCGGCUAGGGAUGAACUCGCGGCCUAUCAGCUUGUUGGUGGGGUAAUGGCCUACCAAGGCGACGACGGGUA